This 164-nucleotide ribosomal RNA is filed under the name uncultured bacterium. Its description in RNAcentral is "partial 16S rRNA". It matches the Rfam family "Bacterial small subunit ribosomal RNA", at positions 355 to 511 of the family's 1533-position model. The record is from RNAcentral.
UAGGGAAUCUUCCACAAUGGGCGCAAGCCUGAUGGAGCAACGCCGCGUGUGUGAUGAAGGGUUUCGGCUCGUAAAACACUGUUGUAAGAGAAGAAUGACAUUGAGAGUAACUGUUCAAUGUGUGACGGUAUCUUACCAGAAAGGGACGGCUAAAUACGUGCCAG